GAUGAACGCUGGCGGCGUGCCUAAUACAUGCAAGUCGAGCGAACAGAUGAGGAGCUUGCUCCUCUGACGUUAGCGGCGGACGGGUGAGUAACACGUGGAUAACCUACCUAUAAGACUGGGAUAACUUCGGGAAACCGGAGCUAAUACCGUAUAAUAUAUUGAACCGCAUGGUUCAAUAGUGAAAUACGGUUUUGCUGUCACUUAUAGAUGGAUCCGCGCCGCAUUAGGUAGUUGGUAAGGUAACGGCUUACCAAGGCGACGAUGCGUAGCCGACGUGAGAGGGUGACCGGCCACACUGGACCUGAGACCCGGUCCAGACCCCUACGGGAGGCAGCAGUAGGGAAUCUUCCGCAAUGGGCGAAAGCCUGCCGGAGCAACGCCGCGUGAGUGAUGAAGGUCUUCGGAUCGUAAAACUCUGUUAUUAGGGAAGAACAAAUGUGUAAGUAACUAUGCACGUCUUGACGGUACCUAAUCAGAAAGCCACGGCUAACUACGUG
Molecule: ribosomal RNA, 497 nt
Filed under: uncultured bacterium
Lineage: Bacteria
Description: partial 16S ribosomal RNA
Rfam family: Bacterial small subunit ribosomal RNA
Source: RNAcentral